GGGAGAUUGGCGGAAUUGGCAGACGCAUUGGACUUAAAACCCAAUGGGAGCAGUCCCGUAUCGGUUCGAGUCCGAUAUCUCCUACCA
Molecule: transfer RNA, 87 nt
Filed under: Ruminococcus sp.
Lineage: Bacteria; Bacillati; Bacillota; Clostridia; Eubacteriales; Oscillospiraceae
Description: tRNA-Leu
Rfam family: tRNA
About the family: Transfer RNA (tRNA) molecules are approximately 80 nucleotides in length.
Source: RNAcentral